Long non-coding RNA from Homo sapiens (human), 1014 nucleotides. Ensembl annotates it as long intergenic non-protein coding RNA 539. Lineage: Eukaryota; Metazoa; Chordata; Mammalia; Primates; Hominidae. The record is from Ensembl.
AUGAUAUGCAGUUCCUGAGCAGUGUUGGGACUCAAAGACGUUUAUGGCAGCUCAUCAGCCUGCAUCCAGUGCUUCAAAGGGUUCUAAGAGACUGGCUCAGCCAACUGCCAGCCUGGUCAUUUCGAAACUGAAAUGAAAGCAGCAGAGAGAGUUAUAUUUAUCAACUGAGUGAGACUUGCUUUUCUCAACAGGAUAUUUACGUUGUGAACUGGUAAAAUCUGAACUGCAGAAUAUCAAUUUCCAGACAUUCUUCCUAGAUGAUGCCGUCUGCCACGGGUAAGGAUUCAUGAGACCUGAGCAGCCAGCCAGCCCUGAAAUGGUUGGAACAGGAGAAAGAAGAAGAGCUCGACAGAUACCCUGCCUGGGCUGGCAGCUAGCUGCACCACAAGCUGGCCAGCUGACAGCGGGCACAUCCCUUCAUCACCCAGUGCCUUUCUUCCCUCUUGUGAAAAUGGAGAUAUGCUGAGAAGGUUACUUCAGCUCAUCCAGAGAAAGCUUCUUCAGCUAACUAGGCUGUAGAAAGGGCCUACAGCCUAAAUUUUCAAAAACAAGUUAAUGCCAGAAUAUAAACUCCGUGAAGUAACAGAUUGUGUCGGUUUCAUUCCUGCAUGUAUCCCUGGUGCCUAGACAGUGUCUGGCACACAGUAGGUGCUCAACAUUGACUGAAUGUGAGGGAAAAACCUAUGUAGUUCAAUACUAUGUAGACAAGAUCAUAAAUGAUCACUAUUUAAAUUGUGUGUGUUUUCCUUGACAUGAGUAACCAAGAGUCGGCUCCUUCAGGCUGAUAGAAAAUCCUGCUUCCUGGAAAUGAGCAAAUAGAAGAGAUAUCUGCAUUUCCAUGGUUGUUGCAGCUCUGUUCACAACAUCCAAGAUUAGGAAGCAACCCAAGUGUCCAUGAACAGAUGAAUGGACAAAGAAAAUGUGGUACUUACAAUAGAGUGCCAUUCAGCUAUAAAAAAAGAAUGAGAUUAUGGCCAGGCAUGGUGGCUCACACCUGUAAUCCCAGCACUUUGG